This is a non-coding RNA of Pelobates cultripes (western spadefoot toad), 564 nucleotides long. The record is from the annotation of a GenBank genome assembly. NCBI's taxonomy places the organism in Eukaryota, Metazoa, Chordata, Amphibia, Anura, Pelobatidae.
UUUUGAUUCACUAAAAUAGACCGACCGCAGGGCCAGAAUUCAUGGAACUGUUUUCGGCUACUGAGUCCCUGCGGUCGGUCAAAUCUUUAACUGUCUGUAACUCCCGAACCCCUGGUCCGAUCUGGGUGAAUUUCGAGUAUGUUGCUCACCCAGAUCAGACCUACCAGGGGACCCCUUUGUCCCUGUACCCCCUGUAUUUAGGGGGCAUCCAGAAAGUGGGGAAAACUCUGUCCCCACUAAUCUGUUUAAGUGCUAAUCUAAGGGGAGGAGAGGGAGGGGAGGUGACCGUGUUACAAUUGGCUACUGUAAUAAUUAUGAAAGUUACCUCCCUUGCAUGGGAGAAAUGCAUAAAAGCAGACCUGUGAAUAAAGCUGGCAGUUGACUCCCAGACUAUGUGUCGUCUAGUCCUUGGGGAGGUGGAUUAUGCUGUGUUCCUGUGACUUUGUAUGCUGAAUCUUUGUUCCCAGCAGAGAGCUAUUGGAUUAACCCCUGCCCCUCCGCUACACACAGUGUGUCUAAACCAGGUGCACAUAGUGUAUCUACAGGCACAGAGGGUGUCUAUAC